Molecule: long non-coding RNA, 897 nt
Organism: Drosophila elegans
Lineage: Eukaryota; Metazoa; Arthropoda; Insecta; Diptera; Drosophilidae
Exons: 3
Source: RefSeq, a predicted model, not a curated record
AACGAAUCGCGUGCACGAAAAACCCGCCUUUGACUUUGACCGUCGUUCGCCAGUCGUCAGUUUCAUCUGGAGCGGCGGGCAGUAAGCUGAAAUCGACUGAAAGGACGCAUCGAACAGGACAAUUCGCAGGAAAACCAAACCAGAGCAGAUCCCAAAAAUACGAGAACCAAUUGUCGUGUGCUAAUUUAGCUGGGAAGCUUACUUUUUGGCGCGCUGCUGCUUUAAUCCUGCCGUCUAAGUGAAUGUGAAAUGUGCCAAGCCAAGUGACAGUUAGCAAAAGCCAAGAAAAGGAGAAAAGAUAAAGGAGAAAGGAGAGAGGAGAAAGGAGACCUAAACAGAUGGAAACAACUUGCAGAUGCUGAUGUUCGAGGCCCCAGGAGACAUUUAACAUAAUAAAAACGAACGUGUGUGGCAUUUUUGUGUUGCCUUUUGGCCAAGUUAACUCCUACUCCUGUGUAUGUUUGUGUGUGCGUUUGUUUAAUGCUAAUAUCACAUACACUCGCCCCCGCACACAAACUUACAAACAAACAAUAUUGCAAAUGUGUGCGUCAGGCAGUUGGCAAAAGUGUCGUAAAUCGUUUAGACAGCGCAACGUGGCCCAGAAAAUGGAGAAGAGGGCCAAAAACGAAACGAUAUGUAAACGACACAGCCGCCGUGGGAAAAACUCGGAAAAUGCCCAAACAAAAAGCCAAGAAAGUGGAGGAUCUGCCGAUGAACUGCAUUUGUUGCUCAUAUGUCAGCGGGGAAGAGUUUCUUACUUCAAUGACUGAAUAAAUAAUUCUGUAAGCUUCUGGACUUUGUAUGAAAAAUACCUCUAAGACGACAUUGAUGUAUGGCCUUUCAACACUGUGAUAAAUAUAAAUAUUGCCAUAAAUAAUGCAAUUUUGUAAAAGAAAU